AGAGAUUCAAUAAUUUCCCCAAUUCGAGUGCCCAUAAAUUGAGAAGUACAGGUUCUGAUCAGACAAAAAUGACGACAAUUCGCCGUUUCUGUUGCAACGAUCUUCUCCGCUUCGCUUCUGUAAAUCUUGACCAUCUCACUGAAACCUUCAACAUGUCAUUCUAUAUGACCUAUUUGGCGAGAUGGCCAGACUAUUUCCAUGUCGCUGAAGGCCCCGGAAACAAAAUCAUGGGCUACAUUAUGGGUAAAGUAGAAGGACAAG
This 261-nucleotide unclassified non-coding RNA is filed under the name Hevea brasiliensis (rubber tree). Lineage: Eukaryota; Viridiplantae; Streptophyta; Magnoliopsida; Malpighiales; Euphorbiaceae. The record is from RNAcentral.